CAGUAGCCGCGGUAAUACGAAGGGGGCUAGCGUUGUUCAGAUUUACUGGGCGUAAAGCGCACGUAGGCGGAUCCUUAAGUCAGAGGUGAAAUCCCAAGGCUCAACCUUGGAACUGCCUUUGAUACUGGGGAUCUCGAGUUCGGGAGAGGUGAGUGGAACUGCGAGUGUAGAGGUGAAAUUCGUAGAUAUUCGCAAGAACACCAGUGGCGAAGGCGGCUCACUGGCCCGAUACUGACGCUGAGGUGCGAAAGCGUGGGGAGCAAACAGGAUUAGAUACCCCUGUAGUCCCUGUCUCUUAUAC
RNAcentral lists this ribosomal RNA (301 nucleotides) under uncultured bacterium. Its description in RNAcentral is "partial 16S ribosomal RNA". It matches the Rfam family "Bacterial small subunit ribosomal RNA", at positions 509 to 807 of the family's 1533-position model. The record is from RNAcentral.